AGUGAACGCUGGCGGUAGGCCUAACACAUGCAAGUCGAACGGCAGCACAGUAAGAGCUUGCUCUUACGGGUGGCGAGUGGCGGACGGGUGAGGAAUACAUCGGAAUCUACUUUUUCGUGGGGGAUAACGUAGGGAAACUUACGCUAAUACCGCAUACGACCUACGGGUGAAAGCAGGGGAUCUUCGGACCUUGCGCGAUUGAAUGAGCCGAUGUCGGAUUAGCUAGUUGGCGGGGUAAAGGCCCACCAAGGCGACGAUCCGUAGCUGGUCUGAGAGGAUGAUCAGCCACACUGGAACUGAGACACGGUCCAGACUCCUACGGGAGGCAGCAGUGGGGAAUAUUGGACAAUGGGCGCAAGCCUGCUCCAGCCAUACCGCGUGGGUGAAGAAGGCCUUCGGGUUGUAAAGCCCUUUUGUUGGGAAAGAAAAGCAGCAGGUUAAUACCCCGCUGUUCUGACGGUACCCAAAGGAUAAGCACCGGCUAACUUCGUG
This 492-nucleotide ribosomal RNA is filed under the name uncultured bacterium. Its description in RNAcentral is "partial 16S ribosomal RNA". It matches the Rfam family "Bacterial small subunit ribosomal RNA", at positions 29 to 507 of the family's 1533-position model. The record is from RNAcentral.